Molecule: ribosomal RNA, 272 nt
Filed under: uncultured Staphylococcus sp.
Lineage: Bacteria; Bacillati; Bacillota; Bacilli; Caryophanales; Staphylococcaceae
Description: partial 16S ribosomal RNA
Rfam family: Bacterial small subunit ribosomal RNA
Source: RNAcentral
CGUUAGCGGCGGACGGGUGAGUAACACGUGGGUAACCUACCUAUAAGACUGGGAUAACUUCGGUAAACCGGAGCUAAUACCGGAUAAUAUUUCGAACCGCAUGGUUCGAUAGUGAAAGAUGGUUUUGCUAUCACUUAUAGAUGGACCCGCGCCGUAUUAGCUAGUUGGUAAGGUAACGGCUUACCAAGGCGACGAUACGUAGCCGACCUGAGAGGGUGAUCGGCCACACUGGAACUGAGACACUGUCCAGACUCCUACGGGAGGCAGCAGGG